Molecule: ribosomal RNA, 459 nt
Filed under: uncultured bacterium
Lineage: Bacteria
Description: partial 16S ribosomal RNA
Rfam family: Bacterial small subunit ribosomal RNA
Source: RNAcentral
CCUACGGGAGGCAGCAGUGAGGAAUAUUGGUCAAUGGUCGGGAGACUGAACCAGCCAAGCCGCGUGAGGGAUGAAGGUACAGAGUAUCGUAAACCUCUUUUGUCAGGGAACAAAGGCGGGGACGCGUCCCCGGAUGAGUGUACCUGAAGAAAAAGCAUCGGCUAACUCCGUGCCAGCAGCCGCGGUAAUAGGGAGGAUGCGAGCGUUAUCCGGAUUUAUUGGGUUAAAAGGGUGCGCAGGCGGUCUGUUAAGUCAGCGGUAAAAGCCCGGGGCUCAACCCCGGCCCGCCGUUGAAACUGGCAGUCUCGAGUUGGAGAGAAGUAUGCGGAAUGCGCGGUGUAGCGGUGAAAUGCAUAGAUAUCGCGCAGAACUCCGAUUGCGAAGGCAGCAUGCCGGCUCCACACUGACGCUGAGGCACGAAAGCGUGGGUAUCGAACAGGAUUAGAUACCCUAGUAGUC